GUGAGGAAUAUUGGUCAAUGGGCGCAAGCCUGAACCAGCCAUGCCGCGUGCAGGAAGACGGUCCUAUGGAUUGUAAACUGCUUUUAUUUGGGAAUAAACUCCGGUACGUGUACCGGCCUGAAGGUACCAAAUGAAUAAGCACCGGCUAACUCCGUGCCAGCAGCCGCGGUAAUACGGAGGGUGCAAGCGUUAUCCGGAAUCAUUGGGUUUAAAGGGUCCGCAGGCGGUCUUAUAAGUCAGUGGUGAAAGCCUACAGCUCAACUGUAGAACUGGCAUUGAUACUGUAGGACUUGAAUUCGAUCGAAGUGGGCGGAAUGUGACAUGUAGCGGUGAAAUGCUUAGAUAUGUCACAGAACACCGAUAGCGAAGGCAGCUCACUAGGUCUGGAUUGACGCUCAGGGACGAAAGCGUGGGGAGCAAACAGGAUUAGAUACCCGAGUAGUCC
This 445-nucleotide ribosomal RNA is filed under the name uncultured bacterium. RNAcentral describes it as "partial 16S ribosomal RNA". It matches the Rfam family "Bacterial small subunit ribosomal RNA", at positions 354 to 796 of the family's 1533-position model. The record is from RNAcentral.